AGUCAUGUUCACUCUGACUGUCAGUCGGAAAAGAAAAAAAGAGAGAGAAGAUACGCUCAGCACGGAAAUCAAAACAGAGAAGGCUCAAUAUCAGUACCUUUUUUCAACCUCAUUCCCCAGAGUUGUUACAAAACUGCCAUUAAAUAUGUUUGUAAAUGCAUCUCUGAUCCUGCCUGUGCAACUACUACAUCCUACAAGUUUUGAUAAUUUCAGCAGGUACAUUAUAGCUGUAUUUGAGAGAAGGUUGAGGUCUCAGAAGCAGUUACAGUGGUUAGAGUUUUGCAGCUACAGAUGAUCAGUGAAGUGAAACUGCAUACCAUCACGCAUAAACACAACGUUGGACACAAAGAAGCCAGCCUGAGAGGCCUCCUGAAAACAUUUCUGCAACAGGAAUACUUUCAAGAAAUAUUUCAUUUUCUGUCACACCAAUUUUAACAAAAACAGGAGAAAAAGGAAAUAUACAGAACUUACUUUUGUUAUUUCUAUUGAUCGUUUAACUGCUUUUUUUUUUCUUCCUUUUAGAGAUGGCUUAGUCAUUCACUAUUGUUGUAGUAAGACUCCUAAAAACAGUAUAUUGUGAUAAAUUUUAUACAUUAUGACACAUAUUUAUUUGGCUUUAUAGGGGCUCCAUGUGAUGAGUUUGACAAGCUUCCCUGAUGUGACUGAGGCUCCUUCAAAUGCAGUUUCACAUGACUUAAUUUUAAAAACUGAUACAGCUAAAAAUUCCUUGGUAUUCAGUACAUGAAAAUGUCUACAUCCUGCUUGUUUCAGUCUCAAAUUGAAUACUUCUAAGCACAUCUGUACUACCAUCUACUGGAAAGGCUUUCCCAAUUUAUUCUUCAAGGACUUACACAGGCAGAUGCAGAGAGAGAUGUGCAGGAAUGUAAGGUCUGGCAUGAGGUUGAGCAUAUCAGAAAGUCUUGUCCAAGUCUCCAAGUGAGUUUCAACCAGAUAUCAGUUCAUUAAAGCCUUGCUGUUUGCUUUAGAUUUGCAAAAAGUGAUUUUAAAAGUGGAAAGAUUUUCUAAUGGUACUGAAUGUCAUCCUAUCAUCAUCCAAAAGAGAAGACAGGUUGGCUGGUUGCUUAAAUGUAGCACUUCAAAACAACUCCUGGCAAGGAGGGAUAAGCAGAUGAAUACCAUGCUUUUUAGAUCUCCACUUACCAAAA
Molecule: long non-coding RNA, 1166 nt
Organism: Lagopus muta (rock ptarmigan)
Lineage: Eukaryota; Metazoa; Chordata; Aves; Galliformes; Phasianidae
Exons: 5
Source: RefSeq, a predicted model, not a curated record